AUACGUAGGGGCCAAACGUUGUCCGGAUUUAUGGGGCGUAAAGGGCUCGUAGGCGGUUCAACAAGUCGAUCGUGAAAGCCCGGGGCUCAACCCCGGGACGCCGGUCGAAACUGUUGUGACUAGGGUCCGGUAGAGGUGAGUGGAAUUCUCGGUGUAGCGGUGGAAUGCGCAGAUAUCGAGAGGAACACCAGUUGCGAAGGCGGCUCACUGGGCCGGUACCGACGCUAAGGAGCGAAAGCGUGGGGAGCAAACAGGAUUAGAUACCCCGGUAGUCC
This 275-nucleotide ribosomal RNA is filed under the name uncultured bacterium. RNAcentral's name for it is "partial 16S ribosomal RNA". It matches the Rfam family "Bacterial small subunit ribosomal RNA", at positions 523 to 796 of the family's 1533-position model. The record is from RNAcentral.